Molecule: ribosomal RNA, 377 nt
Filed under: uncultured bacterium
Lineage: Bacteria
Description: bacterial SSU rRNA
Rfam family: Bacterial small subunit ribosomal RNA
Source: RNAcentral
AAACGUAGGAGGCGAGCGUUAUCCGGAUUUACUGGGCGUAAAGCGCGUGCAGGCGGCAACGCAAGUUGGAUGUGAAAUCUCCCGGCUUAACUGGGAGGGGUCGUCCAAUACUGCGUGGCUUGAGGGCAGGAGAGGGAAGCGGAAUUCCCGGUGUAGCGGUAAUAUGCGCAGAUAUCGGGAGGAACACCAGUGGCGAAGGCGGCUUCCUGGCCUGCUCCUGACGCUCAGACGCGAAAGCUAGGGUAGCGAACGGGAUUAGAUACCCCGGUAGUCCUAGCUGUAAACGAUGGAUACUGGGUGUAGGCGGUAUUGACCCCGCCUGUGCCGAAGCCAACGCGUUAAGUAUCCCGCCUGGGGACUACGACCGCAAGGUUAAA